Molecule: unclassified non-coding RNA, 243 nt
Filed under: Basidiomycota sp.
Lineage: Eukaryota; Fungi; Basidiomycota
Description: partial contains small subunit ribosomal RNA, internal transcribed spacer 1, and 5.8S ribosomal RNA
Rfam family: Eukaryotic small subunit ribosomal RNA (bases 1-47)
Source: RNAcentral
AAAGUCGUAACAAGGUUUCCGUAGGUGAACCUGCGGAAGGAUCAUUAUUGAUUUUAAAAAGAUGUGCUGGCUUUCUAAAGGCAUGUGCACUCUUAACAAAACCAAUAUCCACCUGUGCACCUUUUGUAGGCGGGAGUUGUAAAAUUCCUUGUCUAUGUCUCUUACAAACAACCAUUGAUGUAUCUGAAUGUCUUUGAAUAACAUAUUGUAAAACAACUUUCAACAAUGGAUCUCUUGGUUCUC